AGGUUACACACGCAUCAGGUUUGUCACAUGAGAUCCUUAAGAGACGGCUGAAGAGGACCUUGAUUGGUCCUAGAACGGCCUGAGGUACAGGGGUUUUAGUCAGUAGGUCCAAGGACUUCUUCCUCGGAAAUCCGACACCACCCAGUCGUAUGGACGGCUGGGUGUCUUUUGAAGAUUUCCUCUCCUCCACGAAA
Agrilus planipennis (emerald ash borer) is the source of this 194-nucleotide non-coding RNA. The record is from Rfam. Lineage: Eukaryota; Metazoa; Arthropoda; Insecta; Coleoptera; Buprestidae.